RNAcentral lists this ribosomal RNA (454 nucleotides) under uncultured Prevotella sp. Its description in RNAcentral is "partial 16S ribosomal RNA". It matches the Rfam family "Bacterial small subunit ribosomal RNA", at positions 341 to 792 of the family's 1533-position model. Lineage: Bacteria; Pseudomonadati; Bacteroidota; Bacteroidia; Bacteroidales; Prevotellaceae. The record is from RNAcentral.
ACGGGAGGCAGCAGUGAGGAAUAUUGGUCAAUGGGCGAGAGCCUGAACCAGCCAAGUAGCGUGCAGGAUGACGGCCCUAUGGGUUGUAAACUGCUUUUAUACGGGAAUAAAGUGCGGGACGUGUCCCGUUUUGUAUGUACCGUAAGAAUAAGGACCGGCUAAUUCCGUGCCAGCAGCCGCGGUAAUACGGAAGGUCCGGGCGUUAUCCGGAUUUAUUGGGUUUAAAGGGAGCGCAGGCUGUCGUUUAAGCAUGCUGUGAAAUGUAGGCGCUCAACGUCUGCACUGCAGCGUGAACUGGAUGACUUGAGUACGCGGAAAGUGGGCGGAAUUCGUCGUGUAGCGGUGAAAUGCUUAGAUAUGACGAAGAACUCCGAUUGCGAAGGCAGCUCACUGUAGCGCAACUGACGCUAAUGCUCGAAAGUGCGGGUAUCGAACAGGAUUAGAUACCCUGGUA